RNAcentral lists this long non-coding RNA (3394 nucleotides) under Nicotiana benthamiana. RNAcentral's name for it is "long non-coding RNA (NBEN_LNC020904)". Lineage: Eukaryota; Viridiplantae; Streptophyta; Magnoliopsida; Solanales; Solanaceae. The record is from RNAcentral.
CUAACCCCAGAAACUUUAGAGCUCGCCACCCCAGAAACCUCCACCAUCUCCGUCAGUGGCUACACCAUAAACCACUCCAAUCUACCUAAAAAUAACACCCCAGAACCCUCUCCCCCUCCUCUUUCAAAAUCUCAACAUAGUUUCCCUCCAAUUCCUCUCAAUCUCUUUGAAUCUCGAAUCAAAGUUCGAAACCCUAAAAACCCAAAUCGCCCUACCUUUGAUUCUGUGGCAUGCAUGACCACAUGCGUCUGAAUUUUCUAGUUUUAAAAGUCUAAUUUGGCAUAAAGCAGUGUUGGUCGUUUGUUCUUGACAAAGAACAAGCGAUUAACACUGGUUUUGUUAAAUCGAGGAGUCCAAUGUUGGUGUCGAGUUUAGUCGGCAAGCUUUCUUUAUUCUUUUUUUUCUUUUUGUCCACUUUUAUGUUGUUUCAUCUUCUACUCCGUUCUUUUAUUCUCCGCUUCUUGAGUGUUUUUUUUUUCUACUGAAAAGUUGAUGAAAGUUUUAAACCUGGGUUUUUCACUUUGAUUAUUUGGUAUUCGUAUUUAUUCUGUGGGGUGCUCCUGUUUUCUGUUAAUUUUUUGUUAAUUUUGUUUGAUUUGUGUAUCUUGCCUGUUUAGCUUUUACGGGCUCAAAUAUAUCCUUGUACUAUUCAAAAUAGGCCAUAUUUAUUCUCCGUUUGAAUUCUUUAACAAAUAUAUCCCCACCGUUAUACAUUAGGGCCAUAUAUAUCCCUCAGCCGUUAAAACAUAUUUAUCCUCCGUUUGAAUUCUUUAAGAAAUAUGUCCCCACCGUUAUACAUUAGUGCCAUAUAUAUUUCUCAGCUGCUAAAACUUGUUUCUACAUAAUUUUUUAACACGUGGCAGUCAACGAUUGGAUCACAUUACCCACCCAUUCUAUUUUUUAAACCCGCCCGACCCACUGUUUAAACCCGCCUCGACCCCAUUUCUUUAUACACUCCAGCCCAUAAAUAGAAUGGGUGCAAGAAAAUAACAGGAAACCUCCUCCAACAUAGCCAUCAAGUAGUUGAUCUUAUUCUUUUUUGCUUCUGAAGGUACGUGCCACUUCUUCGACACAUCCUGGAAAUCAAUAGUAGUUAAUUACAUAAUAGAGCGGGAAAUUGAAAAUUUCAAACUGUAACUUUGUAGCUUUGACUCGUUUACAAAUUCUUCUCUAAUUUCCACCUCUGCUAAGUUUCACGUCCAGUUUUUUCUUUUCCUCAAAUUCUUCGAUCCAAAUACCCAUCACAAAUUCAAACUUAAACCAUCAAAUACACUACAAAAGAUAAUGAAUAUUGAAAAAAAAAUUGUCAAGGAACUGAAAGGUUAUACUUCAACAACAUGGAAAGCCGAUGCUCUUGAGAAUUCAGCGAUGACCGCGUGAUUUUAAGUCCUCGCUUUUUCUUUAAGAAAUUGUCAUGGAACUGAAAGUUUAUACUUCAACAACAUGGAAAGCCGAUGCUCUUGAGAAUUCAGCGAUGACCGCAUGAUUUUAAGUCCUCGCUUUUUCUUUAAGAGAGUGUUGACCCUAGGUACGACCUCCUAUUUUAAAAGGAUUAACCAAAGCUUUAAGAGAAUCAAAACCCUAAAUUUGAAACAAAUGAAAUUAGAGGGGAAGGAACUUACCGUUUCUAGCCUUAAUCAAGCAAAUCCCAUUCGAACUUCCCGACACAAAUCACUAAUCAGCAAAUAUACUAGGCUUGAAGAAUGCAAUUUCAAAUCUCUUCUCAAAACCUUCUAAAACAAUGGCAGAGAAAAAGCAAUAUAUAUCGACUGGAGUGUAUAAAGAAAUGGGGUCGGGGCGGGUUUAAACAGUGGGUCGGGCGGGUUUAAAAAAUAGAAUGGGUGGGUAAUCUGAUCCAAUCGUUGACUGCCACGUGUUAAAAAAAUUAUGUGGAAACAAGUUUUAAUGGCUGAGGGAUAUUUAUGGCCCUAAUGUAUAACGGUGGGGAUAUAUUUGUUAAAGAAUUCAAACAGAGGAUAAAUAUGACAUAUUUUGAAUAGUACAAGGAUAUAUUUGAUCCUUAACCGAACUAUUUUUAACUUCUUUAUUUUAUUUUCAUCAUAAAAUGAAAAAUAUUUCAGUUUAUGUAUUUUUCAUAAAUUUUUUUAAAAAAAUAGUACCUUAUUUUCCUCUUUAUAUAAUUUCAAAAACAUAAAAAUAGUCUCAUGUUUAGUUUAAUUAUUUAGGAUUAGCUUGGGCGUUCGUGUAGUAUUUCUAUCUUAUUUUAAAAGAAUGAUAUAUUUGACCCUUAACCGUAGUUUUUAUUUGGGUCACAAAUUCUGAUUCUUCUAAUCGUAUAAUUAGUUGUGGUUGAUUAGGUAAUAUAGUUUAAUUAUAGCUCGUUAUUUAGUUUAAAAGGAAAAACAGUCAUUUAGGUUAGGUUUUUAAUUUUGAAAUCAUUUAUUUGUACAUUUUCUUCUGCCUUCUAUUUGAUUACAGAAUUUAGUUUGGAUCAGUUGUUGUUUGGGCUUUGGAUCAUUUCUGACCCAUUGGCAAGAGAAGCCCAUUUAUUUGGGCUUAAUUUACUGGGUCAACUUGACCCAUAUGGUAGGUUGGGGUAAAAACAAAGGGUCAAAAGGGGUAGUCUAGGAGUUUUAGGUAGGAGAAUCUUGUGUAACUGAUUGGGAAGCUUCCAGGAAAGUGGGAGAAGGGAUUGGUUUGUCAAACAGGUUAUAAAAUCAAGGUUUAAAAUGAAAAAAUAAAAAUUGGAGAAUGAGUAAUUGACAAAUUGGUGAACUCAUUUCUGCUGCCUUAAAAGUCCCCUAUAUAAAGCCUAUUUUAUGAAAAAUUAGGCAUAGAUCAGACCUUAGAAGUUAGAAACGGCUGAAAAAUACUAAACACUGAAAAGUCUGAAGAAUCAGAAGAAAAAUACAAAAACCAAUUACAAAAUACUGUUACAUUGAAAUUUUUUGUGUAAUUCUUUAGGUUUUAAAGUUUGAAGUAAUCUUUGGUUCAUUCUGGACUGGAAAUGAUAUAAAGAAGUUGAAUUUGUUGUUGUUGAUUUGUUGAUUUGCACUAUUCCGCUGCUGCUGAUAACUCCUCAUUCCUCUUUGUUUCUCUAUUGCAUUCCAGGUACUUCUCGAAUCAUGGCUAACUUUUGAAGUGUAAUGCGCAAACGUGAACAUGGAUUCAUGAUGAAAAUUAUUCGAGUUACUGAUUUCUUGUUCUUACCUGUUUCUCCAUCUACCCAGGUCUUGUAAUAUUUUAAUUUUAGGUGAAUUCUAUUAGCUUUCUUUGUUGUGGAUAUGGUAUAAAAUGUUUGAGCUUGGUCUUUGUUUGUUUCUACAGAAAGAUUUUUGGAUUUAAAAUAGUUAGCCUGCUGAUCUUACAAGAUUUUGCUUAUGGCUUAUAUGAAAGAAGUUCGGAUUAAAGCUCAUUGUAAUUGUUGUUGAGU